AGAGAUGUGUGAUGACGCAUAUCAAUAAGCGGAGGAAAAGAAACUAACAAGGAUUCCCUUAGUAACGGCGAGUGAAGCGGGAAGAGCUCAAAUUUGAAAUCUUCAAGGUUCUACCUUGACGAAUUGUAGUUUAUAGAAGUGUUUUCUGUUAGUAGAGUGGCAAAAGUUCUUUGGAAUAGGACAUCAUAGAGGGUGAGAAUCCCGUAUUUGGUCAUUCUUUCUAGCUUUGUGAUACACUUUCAACGAGUCGGAUUGUUUGGGAAUGCAGUCCAAAAUGGGUGGUAAAUUUCAUCUAAAGCUAAAUAUUGGCGAGAGACCGAUAGCGAACAAGUACCGUGAGGGAAAGAUGAAAAGAACUUUGAAAAGAGAGUUAAACAGUACGUGAAAUUGUCAAAAGGGAAGCGUUUGACACCAGUGUUGUUUUUCCGAAAAUCAAUUACGAAUGUUUUAUUUUUGAGAAGAUAUGACUUCAUCGGCUUGCUUCUCUCUUUACGAAACUUUCUUAAUGCACUUUUCGGUUAACAAGUCAACAUCAAUUUCUUUUGUUGUAAAAGGGUCAUGAGGAAGGUGGCUUUCUUUUCGGAGAAAGUGUUUAUAGCCUUGUACCUCUGCAAUCGGAGAGAUUGAGGUCUGCAGCGUAGAUCCUUCGGGGUUAGAUACAUUUGUGCUAAGUUAUAGCUUUUCAUAGACAACUUGUUGACUAUGUUAGUCUUGUAGCUUACUCGCUUAUGCUAUUUUACCUACGCUUAGGAUGUUGACGAUCAGCUGAGCGCG
Molecule: ribosomal RNA, 774 nt
Filed under: uncultured Neocallimastigales
Lineage: Eukaryota; Fungi; Neocallimastigomycota; Neocallimastigomycetes; Neocallimastigales
Description: partial large subunit ribosomal RNA
Rfam family: Eukaryotic large subunit ribosomal RNA
Source: RNAcentral